GCAACAAAAAAAGAGAAGGCAAAUGUCAACGCAGGGCUCGCUGCCUCUAGGCUGCUCAGCUGCCCGAACUCCUGGGGAAGAGGUGCAGAAACCCCGUGAGAAAGGGAUCACCUAAGGGCGUCGCUGAACCGGUAUCUCCAAGAGAGCUGCUAAGAACCAAGAGAACCCCUACCACUCCUACGCCUUCCCAGAAACCCGGGGAGCAGGAGCAGGAGCAGGAGCACACUCGGGCCAGAGGGCGCGCGGCCGAGCCGGGGCCACGUUUCUCCGCGCCAGCGUGGUUAGCGCUUCCCGGCGGCGAGCUCCCUCGGAAACUGCGCACGUGUGGGCAGCCUUGGCCGCCCUGCACGGACCAGAAGACACCUCUCGCCGCGGCUCGGACAGGGGGCGCGCCGGCAGGAGCCACGAAGAGCUGGGACCCACCGAGCCCUACGGUCGCGUGGGCAGACGUGUAUCCUGUUAUGCACGGCAUGUCUCUCCUGACCUCUAAUCACACGUGCGUCUCAAGGGUGGACCUCAGUUUCAGCUGCUGUUGGAGAACACUUGCAGACCAAUUGUGAACUUACAGAUAAGGAAACUGAGGUUCCGAGAAAUUAAGAAACAUGAACGAUGGCAUCUAUGAAGUCUGGCUCUGGAGCUCAAGCUCUAGAUGACUGCCCUGAAUUGCCUCACCUUUACAAGAGAGAAGCUCUCCAGGCCAGAGGCUGCGUGCUUGAGGCUGUGUCCUGGAGAACGAUUUGAGACCUCAAAGCACCCUCGAGCUGCAAUUCUGCGCCAGGGCUUGAAGCUUCCAGACUAAGUCUUGCUUCUUGUUCAAUUAAAAAAACAAAGCGGGCGCCUGGGUGGCUCAGUCGGUUAAGCGUCUGACUUCAGCCCGGGUCAUGAUCUCACGGUGAGUUCGAGACCCGCGUUGGGCUCUGUGCUGACAGCUCGGAGCCUGGAGCCUGCUUCGGAUUCUGUGUCUCCCUCUCUUUCUGCCCCUCCCCUACUCAUGCUCUGUCUGUCUCUGUCUCAGAAAUAAAUAAACAUUAAA
This is a long non-coding RNA of Neofelis nebulosa (Clouded leopard), 1033 nucleotides long. RefSeq lists it as uncharacterized. Lineage: Eukaryota; Metazoa; Chordata; Mammalia; Carnivora; Felidae. The record is from RefSeq and is a predicted model, not a curated record. The transcript is spliced from 4 exons.